AAAAAAACCAAAAUCCUUUCAAAAAACUCUCAGCCUCUUGUUCUUCGGCCAGGGCCAGGUCAUCGGCCACAGCGCCGGCCGCCGAUCUCCGGCGUCGACACCGCCGUCUGCGAUGGCCGAAAAAGGAGAAAAUCUCCUAUUCAAACCUUUCGAAGCCUCUAAGCCCAUAUCUAGGUUUAAAUUUUCCAAAAACCGACAAAAGCACCCUCAAAAAACCUAGAAAUCUUUCGGCUUCUAACCGUCUGUCCUCGGAGACGAACAUCGACCAUCCCAAUUGCGUUCUGGAGGUAAGCGAAAGUAAGUUCUUUCCUUUUUGUUUUAUUGUAUUUUAGCAAAGUAAAAAAUAAAAGAAAAUAUAGAAGAGGACAAUGCUAAAAUAUCAACCUUUUGAUUUCUUGAUAGAUUUUUGUACUCUUUGAUAUUCUGUUUGCUGUGAAAAUAAUAACUUUUUGUUUGUAUUGAUUUUCGAAAAUCCCCCUUUCUACAAUAUAUUGGUGGCUUUUUUAUAGCCGAAUCAAAAAAUAAAAAGUAAAGAAACACAUCUGUUUGAUUCGAUUUACAAAAUCUUUGAUUUUCUAAUUUUGCUUUCUUGUAGGUGAAGAUCGUGCUGGGCUUGUGGCUGCGGCACUGUUGAAACCCUAGGGUUUCUGACUGUCAUCCGGGGGUUAAUUUGGGCCCCUGUUUGGCUUGGGAUUUUGGGCCUAGUUAAUCUUGGGCCUCUGUUUAGUUUGGUUUGGGCCCUUAUAGGCCUGUUUGUAGUUUGGGUCUUUUAGACCCGGGUAAAAUCUUGCAUGUACAACCUACAUAUAAAAUUAUUUCCUAAUAAUAUAUCUCCCUGCAUGUUAAGAAAACAUACUAUUUUAGAAAUCACAAAUCUAACGUUGUUUAUGUAGAUUGGUAUAUUUUUAGCUUUAUGCUUAAUAAUAGUUUUUUUACCAUCUAUUCCCAUUAUUUUUAUGGCUUUUUUCAUUAAUUCCCAUUUUUCUACAGGAAUUGCGUUUCUCCUGCAACUACUGAUUGUAGCUCCAGUGUCUAUCAUAGCAUUCAGAGAAUAUCUUUUAUAUUUUCUAAACUGGAAUGUAAGUUUAAUAUUUAUUCCAACUCUUGAAUUUUUAUCAAUUGUUGAAGCUUGAAUCUCUUUCAUUCUAGUUUUUCUAGAAUUAUUACUGGGUUCAGUAGGAAAUAUAGGAAUUUGAACAGUUUUAAUUCCUAUUGGUAAGCUUAGUACAAAUUACAACCAUAGACACAGUCAUUAUAGACCAAGCAAACAUUGGCUUUUAGCCACAAACAAUGGUUCCCAACAACCAAGAUCCUGAAAUAUUAGCGGUCAAACCUCUAAAAGCAGAAAAAGAGAAGGAAGCAUCACCAUUCACAUUGGCGACAGCCACUAAUAAUAACAUUAGUGUGUAUGAUCCCCAUUACCGAGCGUCUUCGUUUUCACUGAGGAUCUUGCUUACAAAGAAAGAGAGAAAUAAUGAAGCACAAGACAGAGCUGAGCGUCCUAAAUCACCCAUCGGAAGACACCUUAAGAGAGCAGAGGCUCGAAGACACCCCAAACCGACACCUUAAGAGAGCAGAGGCUCGAAUACACCCCAAACCGACUGAAAUCAGCCAUUGGCGACACCUAACCCAGAACAACACACAAACAGUGACUGAAUCGUCGAGGAUCUUGGAUCUGGCAAAAAUAGAUAAAUAAGGAAAACAACAUCUUGAGGCUUUUGGCAUUGCCACAAAUCCACCAAUUGGGAGUUGCAGCAAAACUCUCACCAAAAGUGGAACACCGACAUCAAAACACCACACUGGUCCCUCCUUAACAUAGGUCCGCUCGAGAGAAGAGAAAAAAGCCACGAACGCUCAGAUAAAUCCCCUGAAAAGGAUUAUUAAACCGAGAGGAUGGAAAAAAAAGGAGAACAAGGAGAAGGACGAUCAACCAUCGAUGACAGGUGUUUGACCGUCUAAAACGAGAAACUGAAAGAAAGCGUUGGAGCGACGCUUAGGGUUUCUUGUCAAAUUUUCAGUUCACAAACCUAAAAUGUCAAUUACC
RNAcentral lists this long non-coding RNA (2044 nucleotides) under Gossypium raimondii (Peruvian cotton). RNAcentral's name for it is "long non-coding RNA (GRAI_LNC007142)". The record is from RNAcentral. Lineage: Eukaryota; Viridiplantae; Streptophyta; Magnoliopsida; Malvales; Malvaceae.